UACGGAGGGGGCUAGCGUUGUUCGGAAUUACUGGGCGUAAAGCGCACGUAGGCGGCUUUGUAAGUUAGAGGUGAAAGCCCAGGGCUUAACUCUGGAAUUGCCUUUAAGACUGCAUCGCUAGAAUCGUGGAGAGGUGAGUGGAAUUCCGAGUGUAGAGGUGAAAUUCGUAGAUAUUCGGAAGAACACCAGUGGCGAAGGCGAGUCUCUGGACAUUUCCUGACGCUGAGGCACGGAAGCCAGGGGAGCAAACGGG
This 253-nucleotide ribosomal RNA is filed under the name uncultured bacterium. RNAcentral's name for it is "partial 16S ribosomal RNA". It matches the Rfam family "Bacterial small subunit ribosomal RNA", at positions 524 to 776 of the family's 1533-position model. The record is from RNAcentral.